CUAGUUCAGUACCGUCUAACCUGAUUGGCUCUCCAGGGUUUCAGGAAGGAGACAUUCCAAGCCCUACGUGGGGAUGCUGGGUGUUGAAUCUGGGGCCUUCCUCAUGAAGAGCAUGUGCUGAGCCAGUCAGCUAUGGCCGUUCCCCUAGAGAUAAAACGCCUGGCCUCAGGUGGGUGCUCCUCUCUCCUUCCCAAGUGCUCCGACUGGCCCAUGAACUUGAGACAGCUGGUUACCAUAUCGGCCUGUGAUAUGCUGUCAUGUCCUAUUUGCCGGCUUGCUCCCUUUCGCUGCCACCGUUGCUGGAGUCAGGCUGGUCUUUUCCAGGUCAAAGAGGAUGCGUACAGUACAAAGCUGGGGGCUGGGAGCGGGGAGGAUGGAAGGGAUUCAGGGAAACAUUGGGUUUUGCUUGCAUUUCAAUGAGAAAUGGUUUCUCUCUGGCUGCCAGUUAGCUAAUAGGCUAAGUUCAAGAUGCUAGUUCUAGUGGAGAAAACCCUAUAUAGCUUGGGACCAGCAUGCCUGAAAGGUUGUCUAAGCUCCUGCACUUCUUACCAGGAAGUCCAUUUGAAACAAUAUUGGAUUUUAGUGUUGUGGUGUCUGCCCCUUGCAAUGCCUUCUCUUUAAAUAUUAGACUGGCACAGCCUCUGUUGUCUUCUUGGCAUCUACUGGAGUAGGAUUCCAACUCCCAUCAGCUCCAGCCAGCAGGGCUAUUGGUCAGGAAUGAUGGGACUUGAAGUUCAGCAACAGAUCCCCUAGCCCGGCAUUUGAGUGAUAGCUCUGAGGCUAGGUAACAAUGGCCUGUUUUGGGUGCCUCUGUAAGCCUGUGAGCAGCCUGUGAUCUGCUAGGGGAAAUGGGGCACUGCCCAACCAACCUCAGCCUGCCUUCCUCCAGACCCUGACCUGCCUGCCUUCUUUUAUUCAUACUCUUAUUGAUUAAUUACAUUUAAACCCCACCUUUUUCUCUAAGGAGCUUGAAGCAGCAUACAUGAUUCUUCUCUUCUCGUUUAAUGCCCAGAACAACCCUGCGGUCAGGCAGAGAGGCAAUGGCUCAGGAACGCCCAGUAAGCUUCACGGCCAAGAGGGAAUUUGAACCCUGUCCUCCCAGGUCUUAGACCAACACUCUAACCCAGGGGUCAGCAAACUUAUUCAGCAGGGGGCCGGUCCACUGUCCCUCAGACCUUGUGUGGGGCCGGACUAUAUUUUUUUUUGGGGGGGGGCGGUGAACGAAUUCCUAUGCCCCACAAAUAACCCAGAAAUGCAUUUUAAAUAAAAGGGCACAUUCUACUCAUGUAAAAACACGCUGAUUCCUGGAUCAUCCACAGGCCAGAUUUAGAAGGCAAUUUGGCCGGAUUUGGCCCCCGGACCUUAGUUUCCCUACCCAUGCUCUAACCACUAUGCUGCACUGACUCAGCAGUGUGGCUUACCUACAUCCAGCUCCACCUGUUAUUGGCUCUGGCUCCCACUAUUGUGGUGGUCCCUGUUUUCUGCCUUACAAGUUCCAUCGGGCACCUGCCACCUGCUUCUCCUUACAGGUCCUCCCCAACACCCUGCCCAGUUGGCACUUGUCCCAAACAGAAGCCCAGCCUCAGGCAGCGCAGGGAGUGAGCGUGACUCUGUUUACCCCUGUUAGCUAUGGGAAUCCCUUCAACCUCUCCUUGCAUAAUUCAGGCACUGUUUUUUUUUUGAUGCUCUACAUUUUAUUAAACAUUUUUUUCCGCAUUAUAUUUUAUAGCCCUCUCAGGAAGAUCGUAACACUACAGAGAAAUUUUUACAUAGGCAGUAAGGAAUCAAUCCAGCUUACAAUCACAAUAUGCAGAACAUCGUGGUGAGGCAGUCUUCCCUGAAUAACUGCACAAUGAAGUUAGCAAAUAUGAGGAUGGAAAAGAAGAACGGGGGGGGGGGGGAGGCAUGAGGAAGCACACACAAAUUAAAGGGAAAUUGUAAUUCUGCCAAUUUUUAUGGCCUGAGCAUUUCAUCCCUUGAUUUCUCCCAUAGAAAAAAGUUGAAAGAUGUUGACACAGUUUGCAUGACGGCUGUGCAGGGGGGAAGUAAAUUCCACACUAAGGAUCGUUAGGAGAAGGAUCAAAAAUAUAAAUGCCAAUAUUGAAACACCUGUUAGUAAAUCUGAUGAGCAACCACACUUGGAAUACUGCAUGCAGGUCUGGUCACCCUCAUCUUUAAAAAAAAAGAUAUUGUAGAGUUGGGAGCCAGUGUGUUGUAGUGGUUAGAGUGCUGCGCUGUGAUUUGGGAGACUGGGAUUCAGUCUCCCUCUUCUGCCAACUCCAUCUGGCCUAGGGGGCGGGGCCUGCACUCACCGUCACAGCAUAAGAGGCCUGAGAGAGGCCUCCGGGACACGGCUGCUGCUGCUGCUUGUGUGAGUGUUGGGAAGACUGCUCCCUCCUCUGCCAACUCCAUCCAGCCUAGGGGGCGGGGCCUGCACUACCACUACAGUUUAGAGGCCUGAGCAGCUACCGGCAGCAAUGGACAAAAUGGUUUUAAAUGUUUUAAUUGUUUUUAAUUUGCAGCACCUUAAAUGGCUGUUGUUGUUUUUUAUAAUAUUAUAUUAUUUUACUAUUUUAUUUUUGCUUGGGGAGGGAUAAGCAUUUAGUCAGCGCUAUUGUUUCUUGUUUUAUUUUGUUAUGUUUUGUUUUAUUAUUAUUAUUAUUAUUAUUCUGUUAAAUUAUUAUAGAAUUUGUAUUUUGCUUUUUAAGGGGUGGGGUCAGGGCUGCCUGGG
This 2731-nucleotide long non-coding RNA is filed under the name Podarcis muralis (Common wall lizard). Its description in RNAcentral is "lncRNA (ENSPMRG00000023819.1)". Lineage: Eukaryota; Metazoa; Chordata; Lepidosauria; Squamata; Lacertidae. The record is from RNAcentral.